This 80-nucleotide transfer RNA is filed under the name Escherichia coli. RNAcentral's name for it is "tRNA-Arg". It matches the Rfam family "tRNA". Rfam says of the family: Transfer RNA (tRNA) molecules are approximately 80 nucleotides in length. Their secondary structure includes four short double-helical elements and three loops (D, anti-codon, and T loops). The record is from RNAcentral. Lineage: Bacteria; Pseudomonadati; Pseudomonadota; Gammaproteobacteria; Enterobacterales; Enterobacteriaceae.
GCAUCCGUAGCUCAGCUGGAUAGAGUACUCGGCUACGAACCGAGCGAUAACGGUAGCGGGUGAUAUCGCCGUCAGGGGCA